This 316-nucleotide unclassified non-coding RNA is filed under the name plant metagenome. RNAcentral's name for it is "partial contains 5.8S ribosomal RNA, internal transcribed spacer 2, and large subunit ribosomal RNA". The stretch from base 1 to 105 matches the Rfam family "5.8S ribosomal RNA", at positions 50 to 154 of the family's 154-position model. The record is from RNAcentral.
GAAAUGCGAUAACUAGUGUGAAUUGCAGAAUUCCGUGAAUCAUCGAGUCUUUGAACGCACAUUGCGCCCCCUGGUAUUCCGGGGGGCAUGCCUGUCCGAGCGUCAUUGCUGCCCAUCAAGCACGGCUUGUGUGUUGGGUCGUCGUCCCCUCUCCGGGGGGGACGGGCCCCAAAGGCAGCGGCGGCACCGCGUCCGAUCCUCGAGCGUAUGGGGCUUUGUCACCCGCUCUGUAGGCCCGGCCGGCGCUUGCCGAACGAAAAUCAAUCUUUUUCCAGGUUGACCUCGGAUCAGGUAGGGAUACCCGCUGAACUUAAGC